This 433-nucleotide ribosomal RNA is filed under the name uncultured bacterium. Its description in RNAcentral is "partial 16S ribosomal RNA". It matches the Rfam family "Bacterial small subunit ribosomal RNA", at positions 29 to 507 of the family's 1533-position model. The record is from RNAcentral.
AACGAACGCUGGCGGCAUGCCUAACACAUGCAAGUCGAACGAGACCUUCGGGUCUGGUGUCGCACGGGUUCGUAACGCGUGGAAACCUGCCCUUAAGCUCGCACUAACUCCCCGAAUGGGGUGCUAAUACCGGAUAUUAUAUUCGAUCCAAAGGUUUAUCGCCUUCGGUGGGGCGCGCGGUGGAUUAGCUUGUUGGUAGCGUAAGCGCCUACCAAGGCGACGAUCCGUAGCUGGUUUGAGAGGAUGAGCAGCCACACUGGGAGGGAGACACGGCCCAGACUCCUACGGGAGGCAGCAGUGGGGAAUAUUGGAAAAUGGGCGAAAGGCUGAUCCAGCAAGGCUGCGUGAGUGAUGAAGGUCUUAGGGUUGUAAAGCUCGUUUACCCGGGAUGAUGAUGACAGUACCGGGAGAAUAAGCACCGGCUAACUACGUG